Molecule: long non-coding RNA, 2490 nt
Organism: Acyrthosiphon pisum (pea aphid)
Lineage: Eukaryota; Metazoa; Arthropoda; Insecta; Hemiptera; Aphididae
Exons: 6
Source: RefSeq, a predicted model, not a curated record
GUUCUGUUUAUCUCCCGAUCUUUCGCUGAAAUCGACUGUAAAUGAUUGAUGCAUAAGUCUGUCGCUCGCGAUAUCCCAAAAAGUCUCUUUCUCUUGUUACGAUCACUGGAGGACGGACUCACGGCCCUAAGACGGACACACACGAGAGAACUCUUGAAGCCGCCGACAGCUAGCGUGUCGCCUGAAUAGUGGACUCGAGUACUCGACCACCGAUGCUCUGAGUGAGGUACCUACCUUUUCACUAUCACUUUGUGACGAACGCCUUUGUUUGCUGCAGCCUCCGUUCCAUAUGAUUGCUUCGCUGACAUGUUCCAACAUGACGCUAUCGAUACGAACAUUAAACACGACAAGCCUGUUGAUGAAAUGCUAUCGGAUUGGAUCCAGUGCGUUUGCGUCGUUACCUUUGAAUUGGAGCUUGGCCUGGCGGUGAAGUUGGUCUACCCCAGCGACAUCAAAUUAUCCGAGGAAAUUAAAACUAACCUCUGUUAUCAAGCGUUUCCCAACUCCAAUUCCAGAUGCAUGGGAAUCACUCAAUUCUAUGUCAAGAAAAAGUGUUCUCAAUCUUCAAAUCUCAGUCAACGCCAUACAAAAAAUAUUGCAAAAUUUCCAGUUUUUUUACAAGCUGAUCAUCGUUGUUUAUAUGGGUUUGUUUUCUUUUGACAAAUCAAAUAUAUGUCUUUCACGAGGAUAUUUUCAAAAAAGUUUCCCGUUGGCUUAUGCAAUAUUAACAGGAAAGACACAAGAAAUAUAUGUAGAGUUUCCGUCAUAUAUUAGAAAUGUAUUACUGUUAAUAUACAGUCAACUACCAAUAAUUAGUGACUAUGAAUUUGGAUUGAUGAAUGGGAUUAAAAUUAUAUUCCCUGAAAGCAAUCAAGCAAGGAUGUUACUUCCAUUUUUGCUUAGUAUCUAUAUAAAACAAUUAAAAUAUAAUUUUUGUCAGAAUAUAUAUGUAUAUCGAGAUUUAUAUGUUUUACUUUUCGUUUUAAGCAAUAAUCCGGUAUUUUAGAAAUAAAAAGACGAGCAUUUACAAUCUCAUUAAAAGGAAUCCAAUUGCUGCACGAGUGUUGAGAUUGGUUUUAGCUUUACCAUAUCUGCCUGCAGUUGGAACGGACAACUUUCUUUCAAUGAAGGAUGUAUUCAAACAAUUGUAGAUUAUGUUUACCAAUUUUCCCAAUUUCAUGAUGUAUUGUGAGGGAUUUUUAUUUAUAUUUGGAUGUAUCGGUUUGAAACGAUGAAACCUACUUAUAAUAAAAGUAAUUAUUUGUAAUAAAAGUUUACCAAAACGGUAUUUGAUCAAAUAACUUUGUUGAAAGUUACUACGCUUCAAUGUUAAGGCUGAUUAAACUUUAUCCCAAAGUGUGGGAAUUCUAUAGUAAGACUUAAAUACUUAUUAUUAAUUUUGUUCUUAAAUUCAAACUAACAGUGGCAAUUUAAUUUAUUAUGUUUCUGUUUCAAUCUCAUGAAAGAAGUACAUAGUAUGAUUAAUCCUAAAAAAUAUAUUUUGUUUUAUUAUUUUUGCACCCCCUACUAAAAUUAAUCAAACGAAGAAAAUUAAUUGUAUAAUAUUCUUAAUUAUACAUUUUUAAAAAAUAUUUUAUAGUUAAAAAUGCAAAUUUUUAAAUAGUGAAAUAGGUAUAAAUUACCUACUACUUACUUUACAUUUGUCUAUUACAUUUGUUGUGUGCGAAAAUUACAUUUGUUUCUCUCAGAUACCAAGAGCAUAUGGGUACACAUGUACACACGAGCAGUGUUUGGACAACUGGCAGCGUCGUCCGAGUAAUAUCCUGAAUACCCAUGUAUAAGCGAGGCGCUGCAUUCGUACACGUGUGGAGUCAAAAUGGAGUAUCAACACGGACGAGAGCAGCUAAUACAAAAACAGUUAAAGAUUACCUAACAGAUUUGACUGAAGAUUUACACGCAGAUCGACUGUUAAUAUUUUUGAGAUGAGCUGACACAGAGUAGAUGGAUAUAUUACACAAUAGUUUGGUCCUUAUCCAAGUGUGUUAUAAUUUAUAAUAUGAUAUUGUUAUUAAAUAUUCAAAUAUUGAUCUACAAUUUCAUAUGAAGAAGAGCUACUAGUAGCUGAUAAUGUUCAAUAAUAAUUUUACCUAUUUUUUUUAUAAGCCUGACAAUUUUGAAUUACAAAUUAAUUUUAAACUGUGUGUACCUAUUUAUUAAGAUUUUUGUAGUUUUUACCACGAUAGUUAAACUGUUUACUACGAUUAUUCAUGAAUAUUUCAUAUUAUUAUAAUAAUAUAAUAUGUGCAGUUGUACUAUUCACACAAAAUAGGUACUUAACUUUUAACUUUAAACUUAAUUAUAUUUUUCUAUAUGGACUUAACUUAACAAGUUAAAAAAAAAAUAUUUUACUAACCAGCCUUGUUUAUUAACAGUAACACAUUCAUAAUCAUUGUAGUAUACUAUUCAAUAUUAAUAACCACACCUUAAGUAUUUAAGCAUCUAUUAUAAAUGUAGAAUGUAUUUUUAUUU